This 253-nucleotide ribosomal RNA is filed under the name uncultured bacterium. Its description in RNAcentral is "partial 16S ribosomal RNA". It matches the Rfam family "Bacterial small subunit ribosomal RNA", at positions 524 to 776 of the family's 1533-position model. The record is from RNAcentral.
GACGAACCGUGCGAACGUUGUUCGGAAUCACUGGGCUUAAAGGGCGCGUAGGCGGGCUGAAAAGGCUGGGGUGAAAUCCCGCGGCUCAACCGUGGAACUGCCUUAGAUACUGUCGGCCUCGAGGGAGGUAGGGGCGUGCGGAACUGUAGGUGGAGCGGUGAAAUGCGUUGAUAUCUACAGGAACUCCGGUGGCGAAAGCGGCGCGCUGGACCUCUUCUGACGCUGAGGCGCGAAAGCUAGGGGAGCAAACGGG